This 270-nucleotide long non-coding RNA is filed under the name Brachypodium distachyon (stiff brome). RNAcentral describes it as "long non-coding RNA (BDIS_LNC001453)". Lineage: Eukaryota; Viridiplantae; Streptophyta; Magnoliopsida; Poales; Poaceae. The record is from RNAcentral.
CUUCUUUUUUUUUUGUCCCCUCUCCGUUUCCCCUCUGAAAGUAAGUGAAGCCUGGGCAGAUGAACCUCACGAAAUGUCUGGGCACCUUCCUCGUCAUUUCGAUGUCGAGGAAACCAUGAACUGCUUGGCAGAUGAACCUCACGAAAUUGUGGCAGCCGAAUAUCACAGAGAUAUAUAUGUGUAAGAUGACGCAGUGACACACACAGAGCGAAGAGAAGAAAGCUAGCUUCAUCUUGCCUUGCAUGCCUAGUGAUCACCAAAUCCUCCUAA